GACAGUUCGGUCCCUAUCCGUCGCAGGCGUAGGAAAUUUGAGAAGACCUGUCCUUAGUACGAGAGGACCGGGAUGGACGUACCUCUGGUGUACCAGUUGUUCUGCCAAGGGCAUGGCUGGGUAGCUAUGUACGGAAUGGAUAAGCGCUGAAAGCAUCUAAGCGCGAAGCCAACUUCAAGAUAAGAUUUCCCACCGCAAGGGUAAGACCCCAGAAAGACUAUCUGGUUG
RNAcentral lists this ribosomal RNA (228 nucleotides) under Clostridioides difficile. Its description in RNAcentral is "partial 23S ribosomal RNA". It matches the Rfam family "Bacterial large subunit ribosomal RNA", at positions 2625 to 2855 of the family's 2925-position model. The record is from RNAcentral. Lineage: Bacteria; Bacillati; Bacillota; Clostridia; Peptostreptococcales; Peptostreptococcaceae.